This 708-nucleotide ribosomal RNA is filed under the name Ligilactobacillus salivarius. RNAcentral describes it as "partial 23S ribosomal RNA". It matches the Rfam family "Bacterial large subunit ribosomal RNA", at positions 1521 to 2237 of the family's 2925-position model. Lineage: Bacteria; Bacillati; Bacillota; Bacilli; Lactobacillales; Lactobacillaceae. The record is from RNAcentral.
AAGUCUGUAGAUGAGUCAAAUGCUUAUCUACUUAAGGACAAGUUGUGAUGAGGAGCGAAAUUUAGUAGCGAAGUGAGAAACGUCACACUGCCAAGAAAAGCUUCUAGUUAGAGUUUAAUCACCCGUACCGCAAACCGACACAGGUAGUCGAGGCGAGUAGCCUAAGGUGAGCGAGAGAACUCUCGUUAAGGAACUCGGCAAAAUGACCCCGUAACUUCGGGAGAAGGGGUGCUGAGCGCAAGCUCAGCCGCAGUGAAUAGGCCCAGGCGACUGUUUAUCAAAAACACAGGUUUCUGCAAAAUCGUAAGAUGAAGUAUAGGGGCUGACGCCUGCCCGGUGCUGGAAGGUUAAGAGGAUGGGUUAGCGUAAGCGAAGCUCAGAAUUGAAGCCCCAGUAAACGGCGGCCGUAACUAUAACGGUCCUAAGGUAGCGAAAUUCCUUGUCGGGUAAGUUCCGACCCGCACGAAAGGCGUAACGAUCUGGGCACUGUCUCAACGAGAGACUCGGUGAAAUUAUAAUACCCGUGAAGAUGCGGGUUACCCGCGACAGGACGGAAAGACCCCAUGGAGCUUUACUGUAGCUUGAUAUUGGGUGUUUGUACAACUUGUACAGGAUAGGUAGGAGCCGUAGAAGUCGGAACGCUAGUUUCGAUGGAGGCAUUGGUGGGAUACUACCCUCGUUGUAUGAACACUCUAACCCUCGCCGGCA